UACCCUGGCAAUGAGCAAAGAGACACUUUGUUGGUGUUGGUGUUCUUGUAUCAGUCAGGGACAGAGCAGAUGGCAGUCCUUCAGUCAUCCUAGUUUGGUGCCUGGCUUGGUGGCCAAAGCUGUCUUAUGUCUGAGUCUUGUAA
Non-coding RNA from Mus musculus (house mouse), 143 nucleotides. The record is from Rfam. NCBI's taxonomy places the organism in Eukaryota, Metazoa, Chordata, Mammalia, Rodentia, Muridae.